UACGUAGGGUGCGAGCGUUAAUCGGAAUUACUGGGCGUAAAGCGUACGCAGGCGGCUAUACAAGACAGAUGUGAAAUCCCCGGGCUCAACCUGGGAACUGCAUUUGUGACUGCACAGCUAGAGUUUGUCAGAGGGGGGUGGAAUUCCACGUGUAGCAGUGAAAUGCGUAGAGAUGUGGAGGAACACCGAUGGCGAAGGCAGCCCCCUGGGACCUGACUGACGCUCAUGUACGAAAGCGUGGGGAGCAAACAGG
Molecule: ribosomal RNA, 253 nt
Filed under: uncultured bacterium
Lineage: Bacteria
Description: partial 16S ribosomal RNA
Rfam family: Bacterial small subunit ribosomal RNA
Source: RNAcentral